Molecule: small nuclear RNA, 107 nt
Organism: Loxodonta africana (African savanna elephant)
Lineage: Eukaryota; Metazoa; Chordata; Mammalia; Proboscidea; Elephantidae
Source: Ensembl
GUGCUCACUUCAGUGGCAUGUAUACUAAAACUGGAAUGAUACAGAGAAGAUUAGCAUGGGUCCUGCAUAUGGAUAACAUGCAAAUUCAUAAAGCAUUCCAUAUUAAA